CGAAAGUUACGCUAAUACCGCAUACGCACUGAGGUGGAAAGCAGGGGAUCGCAAGACCUUGCGCUAUACGAGCGGCCGAUGUCAGAUUAGCUAGUUGGUAGGGUAAAGGCCUACCAAGGCGACGAUCUGUAGCGGGUCUGAGAGGAUGAUCCGCCACACUGGGACUGAGACACGGCCCAGACUCCUACGGGAGGCAGCAGUGGGGAAUUUUGGACAAUGGGGGAAACCCUGAUCCAGCCAUGCCGCGUGAGUGAAGAAGGCCUUCGGGUUGUAAAGCUCUUUCGGCUGGGAAGAAAUCGCACAGGCUAAUACUCUGUGUGGAUGACGGUACCAGCAUAAGAAGCACCGGCUAACUACGUG
RNAcentral lists this ribosomal RNA (360 nucleotides) under uncultured bacterium. RNAcentral describes it as "bacterial SSU rRNA". It matches the Rfam family "Bacterial small subunit ribosomal RNA", at positions 152 to 507 of the family's 1533-position model. The record is from RNAcentral.